CAGGGAGAAUGGUCCCAACCUCACCUAGAGGAUUGCACAAUGCUCCUCCUGACCCAUCUGACGGAGCUUCAGGAGGUCCAAGCUUCUGCUUUACUGCAAGCACUGAUGGACGAGAAUGCUCCGCUUGUCCAAGCUCUGCGAGAAAGAUAUGAAUCUGAAAUCCAAGCACAAUGCUUCACCAACCUGCUCCACCUCCUGACUUCAGAUGCACCUCCUACUAAGCUGAUUCAUUAUCCAAGCUUGAUUGAAAACAGCAACAAUGAGCAAAUCAUAGCUCAGUCACCUUUCACGGGACAAGUUGAGGUCCAAAACGCCAGUGGUGGAUCAGCUGAAGCUCAGACUGACGAUUCAAUCAAAGGAGCCAGCAAUGAAGUCCAAAACGCAGAUGGGACUGACAAGCAGGAUGUCUGCUCAGGUUGUGGUGCGAUCAUGGAGGACCUGCCCUACUUGGAGAUCUUGUGUGUGUCAGAUGCAAAAAGUAAUGUUCACGAGGGCCUCGCUGCAGAGGGGGGAGCCCAGACAGAAGAAGAGGACAGUGCACCAAAGAGUCCACAGAGCUACGAGAAGCAAGGCUCUUUGAUCACUCUGGCUUGGAGCAAACCACCAGAGGAUGACACAGACUAUGAGGCAGAAGCUGCAGAUGGAGGAACAGGACAGAGUCAGGAUGUUGAGAGCAGUUUGACGACCCAAGUCCAACCGGCACAAUGUGAAGAGACAGUUCCGGAGAAAGACAGAGAAGAUCUGAAACCCUCUCUGUUACAGUCUGGUUCUCCAGGUCACUGUGAAGCACAGACUGGAGAUGAGCAAAGCCACACAGUAGAACAGCUAACCUUGAGUAAGAGAUCAACAGCUGACCGAGCAGACGAGGAAGAAGCUGCAUGUGAAUGUGACCUGCGAACACAAGCUUCGGUCACAGAGAUUCUGCAGGCCACAGAACGGUUUUUGGCUGAUUCCUCUGAAACUGACCCACAUGCUGAUGACCUCUGCUCUGGAGAGUCCGAUAACACAGUGACUGAGGUGGAAAUGUGUCCUACCGCAACAGAGUCUGAGCUGUGGGAUCUGACAGGGCCUGAACCUGAUCACCAUGAAGACCAGAAAUAUUCUCCAGAUGCAACAGUAGACUGUAGGAAGGAAGUGAGAGAAUCCACUUUAAUGGACAGAGCACGAGUGACAGAACCAGUGUCUGCAAUGGAGAGAGAGAGGACGAUGCGUAAUCUGGUGGACAUGCAAAAAAAGGUUGAACAGAAACAGCAGAGAGACAGAGAGAGACAACUGCUGAGGGUUCAAGAGCGUCUGUCGAUCGUCCAGAACAGAAAGGCAGAGGAAGACCUGCUCGGCCUGAAACACACCGACAGAUUAAGACACGUCACGCAAGAUCUACCGAUGGAAGACAAGAACCAGCAGAAGACUGUUGUCAGAGAGCGACUGGAGCAGCUCAGAAGAGAGCGCUCUUAUAUCAUGCAGUCAAAAAGAGACAGGAAUACUGCAGGAUUUAAGGAACUCCUUGGUCCAGUUGCCCUCCAUAGCAGAGAAACAGAGGAUGGAGAAGACUGAAAAAAUAGCAGCUUAUACUUGUUAUAUUAAGAAAAAUAAUCUUCAUAAAUCCUGUAUUCAUCAUAAAUGUAAAUGCUGCCCGACAUCCAACCAUAUACUGCAACAAAUGUAUGAUUUUCUACGCAUUUACAGUUUACUGAGCCUCCAUUUUUCAAACAAUAGCCUGUGUUUAAGUGUAGUUAUGCAACUUUUAUAUCACUAGUGUUGUUCCUUUUUUUGUGGUCAUAUACUGUAAGUGUACAUUAAGAA
This is a long non-coding RNA of Amphiprion ocellaris (clown anemonefish), 1803 nucleotides long. NCBI's taxonomy places the organism in Eukaryota, Metazoa, Chordata, Actinopteri, Pomacentridae. The record is from Ensembl.